AUACGGAGGACGCGAGCGUUAUCCGGAUUCAUUGGGUUUAAAGGGUGCGCAGGCGGCCGUGCAAGUCAGCGGUGAAAGCCCGGGGCUCAACCCCGGAAGUGCCGUUGAUACUGCGUAGCUGGAAUGCGGUCGAGGCGGGCGGGACGGGGCGGGGAGCGGUGGAAUGCGUAGAUAUGGCACAGAACGCCGAUGGCGGAGGCAGCUCGCCAGGCCUGCAUUGACGCUCGGGCACGAAAGCGUGGGGAUCGAACAGGAUUAGAUACCCGGGUAGUCCACGCCGUAAACGAUGGGCGCUCGUCGUCGGCGACAGACAGUCGGCGGCCAAGCGAAAGCGAUAAGCGCCCCACCUGGGGAGUACGGUCGCAAGGCUGAAACUCAAAUGAAUUGACGGGG
RNAcentral lists this ribosomal RNA (393 nucleotides) under uncultured bacterium. Its description in RNAcentral is "partial 16S ribosomal RNA". It matches the Rfam family "Bacterial small subunit ribosomal RNA", at positions 523 to 918 of the family's 1533-position model. The record is from RNAcentral.